GCAUUUCACAAGAUAUCGCCUGACAGAAAUCAGAAGUCACAGCGCUCGUUCAACCCGUCGAUCACUUGGCCGCUUUGGACUAGGGGCUGCAACUAACGAUUAUUUUCAUAAUAGAUAAAUCUGUGGUUUAUUUUCUCGAUUAAUCGAUUAGUUGUUUGGUCCCUAAAAUGUCAUGAAGUGUUGAGAAAAUGGUGGAUAGUGUUUCCCAAAACUCCAAGAUGUUUUGUUUUGUCCACCCGCCAAAGAUAUUCAGUUUUACUGACAUAGAGGAGCAAAGAAAACCAGAAAAUAUUCCCAUUUAAGAAGCUGAAAUCAGAGAAUUUAGACUUUUUUUCCCCCGAUUAAUUUAGUAAUCGAUUUACUAAUCGAUUAACUGUUGCAGCUCUACUUUGGACCGUGGCAAGGAAAGUGCUCGAGCAUUAUUUACGACCUUGGCCUUCACCUUGGCUCAUGAUAGCUGUGGCAGUGCGAGUGUGUAAUGAUUGUGCGCUGGCAGGGAGCACAUCCAGCGCAUGACUGAUCGAUAGACGCUCUCUCCCUCUCUCUCUGCCUUUAUUGAUCAGCCAGCGUGUUCCUGCGAGCCAGACUGAAUGGACAGAAAGAAGAAAAAAGAGAAAAAUCCUUGCUCCUCAUUACACCGUGAGCAGUCGGAGCAUUGUCAUGUUUGAUGGGAACCAGCAGCCUUCUGUUCCACGACUCUGUCCACAACGUUGAAGAAUGAAAAACGCACUUAAGAUCUUUGGGAAGGGAUUAUUAUUAUAUCAAAUGCCCUCGUCCCCGUCCAGACCAGACCCACAGUCAUUUGUAAUGUCGCUUAAAAUUUCAGCUCCUGCCAGAGUUAAUUAGUCAUUUUUCUUAACUUCUCAGACCGAUGAAAUGUUUUCAAGAAGUCUAUCUUUAGCUGCUCCGAGCUCCAGAGGUUUGGGUUUAUAAUAUAAUGUAAUGGGCCGGUUUUAUCCCUCAGCAGGCAGCCGACGCAAGGGGCAAGAACAUGAUGGACUGAGAAGUGGACUGAAUUGCCACGUGGAAACAGAACACUAUCAAGCAUUUAGGAACGCACGUGAGAUUGGACAUAUAGGCAGGUUUACAACCAGCUGCCAUGGAGACUGAAACCCAGACACAACUUCCCUUGAUCACUGAGUUGCGACUACUACUGGGAGGUUGUUUGUAGCAGCAUGACUUUCACACUGUGAGUUAUCUUUUCUUUUAUUAUUAUUAUUGCUGUUGAUGAGCACGUGUGGCUGCAUUGUGUUUAUGUGACAUUAGGUGAUUUAGAAGAAAAAGUGAUAAUCACUUCAACAUUAGCAGAUAGUAGAAAAUCAGUUAAGCAACAUGAAUCUAUAAGUUGUGACGUGGACUACAUAUCAACACACAUCGCUCGGCAAUCAGCUUGUUGAAAUCAAAGGGAGAAGACGAUCAAUGCCUGUAUUGAUAAGUCUCUCUUAACCCCUACAUUACCGUCCAAUAGUAACUGUCCCACACUGCGAGCUGAGCUAAACAUACAUAUUUGUGUACAUAUUUUUACUUUGAAGACCUUUGAUCAUCCUCUGUAGCCCUAUUAUUUUUCAUCUGAUUAUCUUAUUUAAACUGAAGUAAUUUGAAAUAUGUUUAAAAAAACAUAAGGUUAAAAAAAGGUAAAAAGAAAACCGCUUUAUCAUAAAUUGCAGGAAUUUCCGUGACAAAAUGAAUCAAGAAAAAUUGUUUAAAGCCAUUCUACUGAUCAGCGUCUCAUUUGUAGUCCAAAACCAAACGAUAUUAAAGCUACAGUGUGUUAUAUUCAGAAGAACUUAUUCACAGAAAUUUAAUAUAUUGUCAAAAACUGUGUUCAUAUAUGAUUAAUCACCUGCAGCAAAGAACCA
RNAcentral lists this long non-coding RNA (1859 nucleotides) under Scophthalmus maximus (turbot). RNAcentral describes it as "lncRNA (ENSSMAG00000022233.1)". The record is from RNAcentral. Lineage: Eukaryota; Metazoa; Chordata; Actinopteri; Pleuronectiformes; Scophthalmidae.